RNAcentral lists this non-coding RNA (148 nucleotides) under Homo sapiens (human). The record is from Rfam by way of RNAcentral. Lineage: Eukaryota; Metazoa; Chordata; Mammalia; Primates; Hominidae.
GCCGGGUGUAGUGGUGCACGCCUGUAGUCCCAGCUACUUGGGAGGCUGAGGCAGAAGAAUCGCUUGAACUCGGGAGGCAGAGGUUGCAGUGAGCCGUGAUGGCACCACUGCACUCCAGCCUGGGUGACAGAGCGAGACUCCGUCUCAA